RNA transcript from Gastrolobium bilobum, 1640 nucleotides. It is a transcript of the gene named serine/threonine-protein kinase Aurora-3-like, with no coding region annotated. Lineage: Eukaryota; Viridiplantae; Streptophyta; Magnoliopsida; Fabales; Fabaceae. The record is from RefSeq and is a predicted model, not a curated record. The transcript has 8 exons.
CAGACUCACUUCCUUACUUCCAUCGUUCUUCGUCCCUCACCUCCCUCGCCUACAGUCCGUCAAUGCCAGUUUCCAGGUGUGUUCUUCGUUCUCAAACAACCCUUAAAGGUGAACACGGUACAGCUCGGUGGGCAGUUUCCAGCCAUCCGUCCCUCACCUAGCCGUCCGUCAGUGCCAGUUUCCAGCAGUCCGUCCCUCACCUAGCUUUCCGUCAGUGCCAGUUUGCUGUCCGUUCCUCACCUAUACUUGUUGCUAUACACACAGAUAUUUGCCGAUGAUAUAACCAAUGCGGCUCUGAGAUGAUAGCACGAGUUCGUUGCUUGCACUUGAUUUGAGUUUAGGCGCCUUUGAAGAUAUUCAAAUUCCGUUAAAUUCUUCCUUUUUUCAAUCUCUGAAUCCACCGAAAAUGGCUUCCCAAAACCCAGCGGAGGAAGAAGACAACUCAAAUCGGAAGUGGUCCCUCGCAGACUUCGAGAUCGGUAAACCCCUCGGCAAAGGCAAAUUCGGCAGGGUCUACGUCGCCAGAGAGAUCAAGAGCAAAUAUAUUGUGGCAUUGAAGGUUAUUUUUAAGCAACAAAUUGAAAAGUACAGAAUUCAACAUCAACUAAGGAGAGAGAUGGAGAUACAAUCCGCUCUUCGCCACCCGAACAUCCUGCGACUCUAUGGUUGGUUUCAUGACGAUGAGCGUGUUUUCUUGAUUCUUGAAUAUGCUCAUAACGGUGAGCUUUACAAGGAGCUAAGAAAAAAAGGUCAUCUCACUGAGAAGCAGGCUGCCACGUAUAUUUUGAGCCUCACAAAGGCAUUAGCUUAUUGUCAUGAGAAGCAUGUUAUUCAUAGGGAUAUCAAGCCCGAAAAUUUGUUACUUGACCAUGAGGGUCGUCUUAAAAUUGCCGACUUUGGUUGGUCUGUACAGUCUAGUAGCAAAAGACAUACCAUGUGUGGAACAUUGGAUUAUUUAGCACCAGAAAUGGUUGAAAACAGAGCUCAUGACUAUGCGGUUGAUAACUGGACUCUCGGUAUCCUUUGUUAUGAGUUCCUCUAUGGUUCUCCUCCAUUUGAGGCUGAGAGUCAAGCAGAUACCUUCAAAAGGAUAAUGAAGGUUGACCUAAGCUUCCCUUCCUCCCCUGCCGUUUCUUCAGAUGCCAAAAAUCUUAUUAGUCGGCUCCUGGUGAAAGACUCCUCAAGACGGCUCUCUCUUCAGAAGAUAAGGGAGCAUCCUUGGAUAAUCAAGAAUGCAAAUCCUAUGGGUAUCCGCAAGUAGUAUAAACUCUAGUCAGUCAUGUACGAGCGACUAAGAUUGAAUCGUGCAUCUGAUGUUGAAAAAUAUAGGCAAAUAUAAGUGCUAUGCAGUGUUCAAGUCUAUCAUCAACUUGAAUGACACUUUACCCUCACUGUGAGGAUUAUGAAGCUUAGGAUUUAAUGUUAGAGAAAUAUAAAAAUCAUUAAUGGAACAUCACCCAACAACAUAAGUUUUUGGGUUGAAUUGGUUCUUUACAUGGUAUCAGAGUGUCGGUGUCAUGGGUUUGAUCCUCAUCACCCCCUAUUUAGUAAAUAAUUAAUUAAAUCUUGUGGAGUUUCUUAACACAGGUGAAAUUUCUUCCAUUCUUCUAUAUGCAGUUAAAGUAGGCCUGACUAACGAC